Molecule: long non-coding RNA, 384 nt
Organism: Alligator sinensis (Chinese alligator)
Lineage: Eukaryota; Metazoa; Chordata; Crocodylia; Alligatoridae
Exons: 3
Source: RefSeq, a predicted model, not a curated record
CGGAGGACAAGGUGUGCGACAUGGUUCCUUGCUGGCAUAAGUAAGCUCCAUUUAUGCAUAGCAGUUGUUUGGAGGAGGUUUGUUGCACACCUGUUGUUCCCAAACUUUCAGCCAUGCUCUGUUUCUUCAAAUAGUCCACCCCUUGCUUCCAGAAUAAAGAAAACCUGCAUUGUGGGAGUGGUAGAUGGAAGUGCAACCUUUCACUGACUAUAAAGAACAAGUUUUAUUAUGAAUGACCCUUCAAAAGGAGGCUUUUAGGGGUCAUAAUUUGGAUCCAGCAAACAAAGUUGAGGUUUACUGGAUGGGCUUCACCACUUGAAGACAGAAGCUGGCAGGAUAUCCUCUUUGCCGCACUACCGGCAGGGGGCAAAAAGGAAGCCCAGC